GACCUCCACCCAACUAUUCUCGUUGGGGCCGGUCCUUGGAUCACCCUAGCACAAAGGAAAGCUCUAGGGAGAAGGAGAAGAAACAAAAAAAAAAAAUUAGUUCUUCCAUCCAUAAAUGGAUGAUGGAAGAUUGGUAAUAAAAGAAAGAUCUUUUCUCAAGUUGAAGAACCAUUAAUCCUUGACCUUCGGAUGGGGAUGAAGGACCAAGAAAAUUUGAAAGAGAGAAGGACGAGGCUCAGUCGGUAUGAGCCAACACAGCAAGCAAAGCUAAUAAUUAGCCGAACGGAGUUCAGAGCCAGCUGAGCAGGACAGAGAUUAUAAUAGUCAAGAAGAUUUUGGACAAACUUCGAAAUCAAAAACUGAAGACCGACCCGAAGGUCUUCAAUAUAGAAUGCAACCUGAUCCGGAGGAGGGGAGUUCACCCGACCAUCGAAGCCAGGAGUGAAGAGCUGAUAUUGCUCUGGGAUACGAUAUUGCUUCCGAAGCCAUUCAAUAUUGGGUC
This 502-nucleotide long non-coding RNA is filed under the name Elaeis guineensis (African oil palm). RNAcentral describes it as "long non-coding RNA (EGUI_LNC049822)". The record is from RNAcentral. Lineage: Eukaryota; Viridiplantae; Streptophyta; Magnoliopsida; Arecales; Arecaceae.